Long non-coding RNA from Triticum dicoccoides, 742 nucleotides. RefSeq lists it as uncharacterized. The record is from RefSeq and is a predicted model, not a curated record. Lineage: Eukaryota; Viridiplantae; Streptophyta; Magnoliopsida; Poales; Poaceae. The transcript is spliced from 2 exons.
GCCCCAGCCGGUCGGUGGACGGACAUUUUUUCUCCCCAACCAGCAAGGAAGAGGAAGAGGAAGCGGAUCGAGUCGGCGAGAGCGAGGGCGAGGACGAUGGCGGCGCUCCGGCUAGCGUUGAGGAGGUUUUGCGACCGUGCGCUCGGGAGAUCAGCGGGCAUUUACGAGCUCAAGGCUGCCAAGGAAUUCCCCGACAUUGAUCCUGGGCAUCUCAAGGCUGCCAGGAAAUUCCCCAAACUUCGUGUCAAGGAUGCCGAUGCUACGGCUCUGAAUGUCUUCAAGAUUCUCCGGAACAGUCCAGUCGAUGGUCAUAAAGAUGUAACCCUUCGUGAAGUGCGCAUGACUCUGAGGACCUUGGCUGAGAUUCAGGAAGAAGAAGAAUGAAGAUGGCGCUACUAGGAAGCAAUAUCGUCUCUUGCUCUAAUAUGAACUAGCUUUGCAGUAUUGUAGUAUUUGAAUCUUUCCUAUGUUGUCGCUCUGUGUCUCGAUCUUCAAAACUGCUGGACGGAUGUGAUGUUUUGCUAUUUUCUUGCUUCGCAAGGUUGAAUCGUCCUUUGAUCUUGACAUGCCCACCAGAUUCGGGUGUAAGCUUUGGGGCUAGCAAUAGGGGCGGCAUGUACUUGGUAUUCGUAAGAUUUGCUGGAUGCUUGUACUCAGUUUCCUUAAAUUAUAAAAUACUAUAUGGUAAUGGAAUGGAUCAUUUGGAAAGAAAGAAGAUUUGAUUGGUGGUGCAAGCCAUUGA